Molecule: long non-coding RNA, 210 nt
Filed under: Nicotiana benthamiana
Lineage: Eukaryota; Viridiplantae; Streptophyta; Magnoliopsida; Solanales; Solanaceae
Description: long non-coding RNA (NBEN_LNC025227)
Source: RNAcentral
GGGGAGUCACUCUUGCGUUCUCUCUCUUGGGUAGGUCAGUCUCGCUCUCUCUUGUCGGUAAGUAUAUCUGUUAUGGUAUUGCUGUCGUGCCGUUCCAGUAGUGUUUGUUAAUUUGUAGUUUUGAGGGGGGGAAUGAAAAAAGGUAAAUAAAGACCUUAGCCAAAAGCAAGGGAUUCCCGGGGCCCGAACGAGAGCAGAGGCAGCAGGGCA